This 71-nucleotide transfer RNA is filed under the name Stegodyphus mimosarum. It matches the Rfam family "tRNA". Rfam says of the family: Transfer RNA (tRNA) molecules are approximately 80 nucleotides in length. Their secondary structure includes four short double-helical elements and three loops (D, anti-codon, and T loops). The record is from Rfam by way of RNAcentral. Lineage: Eukaryota; Metazoa; Arthropoda; Arachnida; Araneae; Eresidae.
GCCUUCGCGGUGUAACGGUAGCACACUUGGCUCGUGUUCGAGAACUGCAGGUUCAAGUCCCGGCGAGGGCA